This 497-nucleotide ribosomal RNA is filed under the name uncultured bacterium. RNAcentral's name for it is "partial 16S ribosomal RNA". It matches the Rfam family "Bacterial small subunit ribosomal RNA", at positions 28 to 507 of the family's 1533-position model. The record is from RNAcentral.
GAUGAACGCUGGCGGCGUGCCUAAUACAUGCAAGUCGAGCGAACAGACGAGGAGCUUGCUCCUCUGACGUUAGCGGCGGACGGGUGAGUAACACGUGGAUAACCUACCUAUAAGACUGGGAUAACUUCGGGAAACCGGAUCUAAUACCGGAUAAUAUAUUGCACCGCAUUGUUCAAUAGUGAAAUACGGUUUUGCUGUCACUUAUAGAUGGAUCCGCGCCGCAUUAGCUAGUUGGUAAGGUAACGGCUUACCAAGGCGACGAUGCGUAGCCGACCUGAGAGGGUGAUCGGCCACACUGGAACUGAGACACGGUCCAGACGCCUACGGGAGGCAGCAGUAGGGAAUCUUCCGCAAUGGGCGAAAGCCUGACGGAGCAACGCCGCGUGAGUGAUGAAGGUGUUCGGAUCGUAAAACUCUGUUAUUAGGGAAGAACAAAUGUGUAAGUAACUAUGCACGUCUUGACGGUACCGAAUCAGAAAGCCACGGCUAACUACGUG